Molecule: non-coding RNA, 6706 nt
Organism: Macaca mulatta (Rhesus monkey)
Lineage: Eukaryota; Metazoa; Chordata; Mammalia; Primates; Cercopithecidae
Source: RefSeq, a predicted model, not a curated record
CAAAACAUUCUCCUUAGCUCUGGUGGCUUGAUGUUUUACUCGUGCUAUCUUCUACUUUGUUGGGAUUGAAAAGAAAUGAUAUUUCAUAUCACUGAUACCCCACUGCGUUCAGCUAUGAGAGCAGAAUGAUGGUGUCAGAAGUUGGAUCUGGACUAGAGUUUCUAGAGACUCACAGGAGCCUUAAGACCAAGCAAGGUGUUCGCUGGACCCAUUGUGUCCAUUACUCUCUCCCAGCAACUAAGGAUUAUGGGCAGAAUCCUAACCCUCCCCACCAGCAAGAUGACAAAUUCUGAUCCCUGGAACAUGUGACUAUGAGAGACAUCUCUCCCAUGAUUAUAUAUUAUGUGGCACAGCUGACUUUAAGAUAGGAGAUUAUCCCAGAGGCCUGGCCUAACCAUUUGAGAUUUUAAAAGCAGAGAAUUUGUUUCCAGCUGAUGGCUGAAGAAGUCAAAGAGAUUCAAAACAGGAAAAGGAUUCAAUGUGCUCUUGUUGCUUUGAAGAUGGAGGAGGUCACUGAAGAAGGAAUGACAUAUAGCCUUGGGGUGUAGUAGCAGACAUCAAGAUGACAGCCAUCAAUGACACUCCUGUAAGAAACUGGAUUUUCUCAACAACCUGAAUAACCUUGGAAAUAGAUUCUUCCCCAAAGCCUGCAGAUAGCAGUGACACCCAGUGAGUGACACCUUGAUUUUUGCUUUAUAUUGGUCUUAUGGGACCUGGAGCAGACAACCUAAUAAGGCAUACUGGAUUUAUCACUUACAGAACUAUGAGAAAAAAGUGGUAUUGUUUUAAGCCAUGAAAUUUGUGGUAAAUUAUUACAGCAGCAAUGGAAACCAAUAUACUAUGUGAAAAUAUCUUGCAAACAUUAACAUGUUUUCUAAAUUUUAGGCAUUAUAAUUAGAACAUAUAAUCCAUUGGAUCCUCUGUUUUAUUUAAAUUCUUUGUACAUAGAUUAGCCUGGUCUAUUCUAUGACCAAAUGUAGUAUUUCUAAAUACAGUACUUCCUGCAGUUUUCCAAUUUGUAUGUUAUCCUUAUUAACAUGAACUAUUUGAGAGUAAUAACAAGCAAGUGCUAAUCAAUUACUAUUGUGGAAUAACUCAAAUAGUCUAAUCUAAUUAAUGGGACAUAGUAGAACACCAUUAACAACAUAUCUACUUUAUUUUCUAUCCCACAUACCAUAGCAGGGGGCAGGGUAAUUUUCUUAAUAAAUAAUGACAAGUAAUUCUGAUAAAGACACUGACAAUUAAAUUAUGGUGGCAAUAUUCAAAAUUUAAAGAGAAGACAAAUAUACUUCAAAAUUAAUGUAUUUCUAUAAAAGACUUUUAUAGUACUUUUCAAAAUCAAUUGAAUAUUUUAUUAAUUGCAAGUAUGUCAAAUAUAAUAAUCGUUAUUCUGAUAUUCAAAACCAGUUGGUGAAUAUUAUGAAUAUUAAUGAUUUAUAGUGAAAUUUAGUCUCAAUGACUAUGAUUUUUUUUAAAAAGGCUUGAUUUGGAGUAAUACCAUGCAUUUUAAUAUACAGGUGUAGAAUACAUGUUCCAGAUAGUGUGCUGCAAUGGUUAUUUUUCAUGUGAACACACACACGUUUUCUUAGGUUACAGUGUCAGUUUGGGUCCCCUGAGAUGCAAAAGCCAGGCUAACAUUAGAUAAUCAAAAGAAUCUUGAGGAAACACCUGUGAAGGUGAAGCAGGCAGCAGAAGACACAAAGAACCUUCAGAACACAAUUCAACCCUGAUAGCUGUUGAAAUAAGAGAAAAAAGAAAGAAAUGGGAAUCAGUGCCCUGGGUUACAAUACAGGUCUCUGAAUAUUUUGGACCAACCAAUUAGUGGAGAGUUUGAAGCAGAAGUUCAUUCAAGGAAUUCCAUUGUGUGUAUUGCUGGACUCUGUAAUCUCCUCCCUUGGUGAGUAUUUACAAUUUUUGUGUUAUUAUUACCACUCUCUCUUAAUUACUACAGAUUCAUUAUAGAUUAUUUUCUAGGUUUAUUGAGGAAUCAUUGUCAAAUAAAAAUUGUAUAUAUUCAAGGUGUACAUCAUUCAGUACACAUUUAUAUUGUGCAAUUAUUACCACAAUCAAAUUAAUUAACACAGUCUUCACCAUACCCAGUUACUGUGUGUUUGUGUGUGUGUAUGCAUGCGUGUGUGUGUGUGUGUUUGUGGUGAGGUCACUUAAGAUCUGUUUUAGCAAAUAUCCAGUAAACAAUGUUAUUAACUAUAGUCACUGCUGUAGGUUAGAAAAUUGGAAGAUGUUGGUUAUCCAACACAAGCACAUAUCUGGAUAUCUGCUGUUAUCAGUUCUCUACUUCUUUUUCCUGUUGUCCUACCAAUCCUGGCUAUUUAAUUGCUAUGUGAAUUUUAGAAUUAAUUAAUUAAUUAAUUUAGAAUUAAUUUACCAAUUUCUGCAAAUACUCAGCUGAUAUAUGGCUAGUAUUUCAUUCAAGGUACGGAAUAAUUUGGGGAAAAUUGACAUCUCUAUGUUACUGGAUUUUCAAUACAUAAACAUGAAAUAAUUACCUUCCAUUUAGUUAGAUAUAAUUAAUUUUCUCCUCAGUAAUAUUUCAUAGUUUCUUGUAUAAAACACUUGCAUACCUUCCACUACACAUAUUCACAGAAAUUUGGGCUUGUCUUUAUUGUACCUUGCUUGAUAGUGCUCAGCGAAACCAUUCUCUGAUAAACAUCUCCCAAUAAGUAUUAUGAAAUACAGAUGAGAAUCUCCAUCCUCACAACAGUGGGAGUACGAGAUCUAUAUUCACUUGCUUUUUGUUGUUUCUGUUAAUGAAAAUGUCCAGCUGAUAACAUAGGUUGUGGUCCACUGUGUAUGUGGUGAAAACACACUCAGAAUAAAAAAUGAAGAUAUUAUUGAAGAAUCCCAGUGCUACGAUUAUAUAUUUCUCUCCAAAGUUAAAUAUAUAUUCCUCAUAUCAGAAAUGUGUGUAGAUCAGCCAAAUUAAUAAUUGUUUUCUCAUGUGCAAAAAGUUGUUUAUGAAAUAGGUCGAGAUAAGCACAAAACUAAAGAUAUAUUAUAAACUAGGUGAAAUCUUUAUCCCCUAAUCUAUCUCCCUAUUGAAUUGAGCUUGGCUAAUUCUUCCAAUCAAAGUCAGCCAUAAGGAUAAUUUCUUGAAAAUGAUGUGGUAGUAUUAUUUAAAUAAUUACCUGUCUGUGUUCUAGAAUGUUGUAGAUUGCAGAACUAUAAACUCAAUUCUGUUAUCAAAUUCAUGUUAGUAUAAUUAAUCCUCAGUUGUGAAAUUUCUUUUUUUAGCCACAAAUAAAUUAAAAUUAUGAACAAAUAUGUUUCUUCAAGAGCUCAUCUGAAAAAAAAUGUUGGCGUGACUACAUAAGAAUCACCUAAGACUGUUUGCCGCUGCUUGCAUCUCCUCCUUUCAAACAUAGGGGUAAUGUAUAUUUGACAAAUGUAAAAGACUUUUUUGUCUAAGAAAAAAGGAAAAUAAAACUCUUUCUCCAAAAGGAGGAAAAAAAUUGGCAUCAGAAAAUAACAUUUUGCUGUGACUACAUAUUCAAAAUGGAACUGAAGUUAUCAGCUUAUUCAGGACAAGAACUUGGAACUUAUUGAGCUGUGGGCGGCUGGAUUGAAAGAGCUGUAACACACUCCUGCUCGCCAGACUACAAGAGAGAGCUGUAACAUGCUCUGGCUGAGCUACGAGAGUGAAGAGCUGCAACUUUUCUUGGGGGUUCAAACCUUGGGACUCCCCAAGCAAGAGCUGUAACACCCCUUGGGGCUCGGUGAUUGCUGAUUGCUGGCAUCUCGGAGGUUUUGGGCACCAAUACCUUCCCCUAUUUUAGACUAUGGUGCCCUGUGCAGAAGCCACUCAAAGCAUGCCUGAUUCAGCCUCAAGCUGAGCAUAGAGCCAAGGCAGUCAAGGGAUCCGGCCCAGGGAGUGAACUGACUGCAGGCUGCUGGGCUGAGCAGACAGAGCAAGUCCAGGUGGCCCUAGAAAGGCCAGGGCAGAGGCAGUGGCGGCCACAGAGAUUUCCAGCUGGCAAAGUGGCACCAAAGGAAUCCUGUAACAAUAUGAGACCCACCAUAGUCAUCUUUUCUUUUCUUUUCUUUUCUUUUUUCUUUUGUUUUCUUUUUAUCUGCCAGGACAAUUGGGCAUAAUACAGAUGAAGGCUGUUCUACCGUUUUUUUGUUACAGAGUAAUGAUGACAGAGAAAAGAGUCAGCUGACCAACAAUGAAAACACAGCCAGAGCAGAAAAUAAGCCUUUGUGGCAAGUGACUGAAUUUUGUUGUUAUUACAUAAGUAUUGCCUAAUAACUUCCAACUAAAAUAAUACUGCAGAUAUGAUUCUUCUGAUUUAUGACUUUUGCCUGAACGAUAUUAUGGUUGUUUAAAAUAAUUCACUUGGGGGACACAUGCAGUCAUUAUAUAAAAGCAAGUUGUGUAUAAAGAUCUCAUUUUGUGACAUAAUAGUUGCAUAAAAUGAGAAAACUCUAAAAGUUUUGUUAUACUGUACUCAGUUUCAUAACCGUAAAUAAAUUAUGUUUUUCACAAUGUUAUUGUUAUGAUGAUGGAAGAUAAUUAAUUAUUUUCUUGUAUAUAGAAGCACCUAACCACAUUAGGCAAUACAGUAAAGCCUACUGAAUAUGUCAAAAUAAGUAAUUCUUAUUUGUCACCAACCAUCUAUUUGAAUAAAUAUGGCCAGUCAUGAAAAAGAUAAAUUGAAAUAUCAUGAAUAUUACUGCAUACAAUAUUUGUUACAUAUUUCAUCCUGUUUUUCCACAAAGGUAUAAACUAAUACAAAUCUGGCACAGUCAAUACAUUUUCUCAAAUGUUAAAGUAUUUAUUUAUCCUUGUAGAGCAUUUGAAUAUAAAGUUUCUUCUCAUUUCCUGAGUUCUUCACUAUGAUGCAUUUACAAAAUAAUUACUGUCAAAAGCUUCAUCUGACAAGAGUGACUUGGAGUGGUAAAAUUCUGCUACAAUAUUUAUUUAAUGAUCUCUGACACCUACUCAGAGCAAGUGUUUUGGAAUAUCCCAACACUUGCUUUUGAAUCUCCCAAACUGAAAUCUGACACUUAUUAAUGAGUUAUUUUAUGAAUGAAUUUUUAAUGAGAUUUCUAAUGAAUUAUUUAUUUUCUGAAUCUGUAUUUUUCACAUAGGAAAUGAAGAAAAAUUUCACAAACUUAAUGUGUUAGUUACAAAACUGUCAUCUAAUAGGUCUUAAUUUAUCUGUACUGUAUAAGUUGCAAAAAGCAAUCUUUAUUUUCUACAUAGUAUUGCUUACAUCAGUAAUUCAAUUAAUAUAGCAAUUGCUACUCCUUAUUGGCUGAUGCUGUCUCAGUUUUAAUACUGUAACUCCCAGAAACCAAAGAAAUUUCUAUAACUCAGCACACUAAAUAAGUAUCAAUAGAUAUUAUGUGUUCUUCUCUUUAAGAAGCCUUAAUUUCACAUAUAUACAUAGUACUGUACUGACUGAAUUUUAUCUCUCAUUAGGCUCUUGCAUGUGGCCCCUCAUUUUGAUAGCAAAAUAAUUUAUUUUAACUUAAACCUGAGACUAUUCUGAUUAUUAGUGCUUUGCCUAAUUUUCAGCAUCAUUCUUUCAAAAGCUUGAUUUAUGAUUGGAAAAGGGGCCUGCAUUGUGUGUUAAUUAUUCAUAUUUGAGAAAACACAUUUUGAAAGUGUUUAUUUUUAAGCUAAGAGAAGUUAAUUUACAAAUAAUAAUAUAUUUAAUUGAUUUUGAGCCACUUUGCCUGGGGUGGGCUCCGGGAAGAAGUACUUUCAGAAAUGCUCAAUUGAUUUUAUUAUUAUGCAAAUUUGAGAAACUAUGCCCAGGAAGAUAAUCAUUUCAAUUUUUAACAAAUAUACUUAUAUUAUUUAUUUGCCAUAAAAGUGUCAUAAGAGAAAUGUUGCCCUUGUUUAAAACACUACUUAGUGAUAAAGAAGAACAAAAUUUUGUCAGCUGUAAUAUGGAUUAGCUUGUGGGCUGUUAAGUGAAAUAAGACAGGUACACAAAGAUAAGUAUCACAUAUCCUCUCUCCUAUGUGGAAGCUCCAAGAGCUGAUCUCACAGUAGUAGAGAAUAUAAUAGUGGUUACUAGAGGCUGGGAAGAGAAGAGUAUGUUGGGCAUAGCUGGAGAUUGAUUAGUGAACGUAAACGUACAGCUAGAUAGCAGAAAUAAGUUCUCAUGUUCCAUAGCACUAUUUAGUGACUGUAAUAAACAACAACCAAUGGCAUAUUUUCAAACAGUUAGAAGAGCAGAUUUGAAUAUUCUCAACACAAAGAAAUAAUAAAUGUUUGAAGAGAUGGAUUGCUAAUUACUCUGAUUUGAUUGAUACACAUUGCAUAUAGGUUUUGAAAUAUCAUCUUGUACCUCAUAAACUAUUACUAUUAUUAGUAGUAGUAAACUAGUACUAUUAUUGUCAAUUAAAAAUAAUUUUAAAGAAGUUGUCAGUAUAAUACAUUAAAGAUGUUUGUCGACUCCUAUAAAUGCUCUGAAAACAUAAGAAAAUGUAUAGUUUGUUAUAUUGGUCCUCUUAUAUCCUUUUGAAAGCACAAUAUUUUGCAUUUAUAAAAUAAUAAAACUUAAAUGUGAACAUAUAUACAUUUCUGCUAUUUUCAUUUGAUUCAUAUCAAUGUCGAGGAGAACUCAUAAAUUUGUACAUGACUUUUUGCCACAUGUCUUGGACGCUAAUAAAUGAUUUAAGACAGUAUAAAAAUGCAACUAAUUUAAAUAAAUAAACACUAAAAAUAAGCUCU